Non-coding RNA from Schistosoma curassoni, 45 nucleotides. Lineage: Eukaryota; Metazoa; Platyhelminthes; Trematoda; Strigeidida; Schistosomatidae. The record is from Rfam.
AUCCAGGUGACGAGUUCCAAAUAGGACGAGGCGCAUGUCCUGCAU